RNAcentral lists this long non-coding RNA (4827 nucleotides) under Brassica napus (rape). RNAcentral's name for it is "long non-coding RNA (BNAP_LNC003519)". The record is from RNAcentral. Lineage: Eukaryota; Viridiplantae; Streptophyta; Magnoliopsida; Brassicales; Brassicaceae.
CAGGAUAAAGGAAACCAUAACCAUUUGAGAUACCCUUUCCUUUGUAACAAUGCUGAAAGUCUCUUCCAUCUGCCUCAAACGGAAAGGGCUCAAGGGAAGGUGUGUCAAUAUCCACAACAAACAUUGGUGUUCCAUUGGGAUGCUGCACAAAGUCAUUGCCUUCGAGUAUUUUCGUCCCAACAAGACGUUUCCCAUUGUUCUUUCUAGAUUCUUCGUAAGAGAGCAUCAGUAGAUAAAAAGCAUGUCCGGUUUUAUCUUCAUUACAUCUCCCAGGUGGCCACCCAAACGUUCCUCCCCACAAACCAGCAUACUCUUGGUCCUCUCCAAGACUCUUGAUUGGUAGUUUGUGCAGGCAAAAGCGGUUGAGAUCCAUUCUUGGCCACCCUUUGUAAGAAGACAUCUCAGUGUAGGAAGCUUUGAGACUAAGACCAAAUAUGUCACCAGCGCUAAGAAAUCUCCGGCGAUUCACACAUGGGGAAGCACCCAUCUCGUUUAUGUCUACCUGCGUAGGAGCAUGGUUCUUACCAAACUUGUGCAUUUUAAGGAGCAUGGUUCUACGUUCCAACAACAUCCCUUCAUCUUCUCUCCUUGUGGGAAACAACUUCCCACUCAAUGGUUCAGAUACAUGUACACCUACAUGGCUUGUCACUAGUUCAAUUAAGUUUCUUCUAUCGCUAUCAUCAAGCUUCUGAAAUGGAACCCCACUCUUCUUCUCUUGACUCGGCUCAACCUCGAGUGAGAGCACAUUGCAAGUCUUGUCGAUGAUGCCUGUAACAGAACCAGGGUACACGCAACUUCCUUCUCUGCCUCUUCCAUGGAGGAAGAACUUGGUGGAGCCAUCGAAAUCAGAGACAAUCUCAAACACAGGCGACCACAUAAGCCUCCCUUCUUGAAUCCCCAAAGAACCAACUUCUUGCGGAAUGAUCCGACAACCAAUAACAGACAAGAAACCAGACAUCACGUAAACAACAUUCCCAAGUUCAGGGUUCUGGUGAACCCAAACUCCAACAAGAGGCUUGAUCACCUCUACGAGAAACCGACAGAGAGCCUUGUAAGAAGAGAUCCCUGUUCGCCAUUGGACUAUUUCGGAUAAAGGAAGAACCUUUACGACUUCGCACUGCACACGCCAUAUCUUCUCUGAAUGAUCCACAAGGUCGCAGAGGCUUUUGCAGCAUAAGCUUAAGUUGCAAAUGUCGCUUGGAGAUAGAAAACCAGAGGUAACAGCAAACACAUCUCCUGGAAGCGAAAGAAGCAGACAAGUACCACCAACUGACUCUUCCAACCGUAACUCUCUGAUCGUCAUCAUAUUAUGACACUCAGGGAUCAAAUCUGUUCGUAAAGUCGAAAUGGGCUUUGCCGGAUUCUCAGAGUAUUAAGAUAGAAACGUAGACUGGGUUUUUUUUAACGCACGAAAAAAUCAAACUUUCAGAUCACACAUCAAAAGUCAAGAAGACAUCUUCUUCUUUUUUUUUUUUGGUCGAAUCAAGAAGACAUCUUCUUAAAAAGUCUACUAAUCUACUGAAAUGGACCGACCAUCCGAUUGGACCGGUCUAUCCGUGACCUUGAAACUAUCCGGUCCGGUUACACCUUAAAAACCGGAAAAUCUUGUCAAAAACAAUGAUCCGGCAACAACCUAUGACCCGGACCGUUGGUUUUCUUCAAAAUUAUUACUUGAGUUUUUAAUGAGAAAAUUUCAUAUAUCACUUAAAAGAUAUUUUUCACAAAAUAUGAGAAGAAAAUAUUCAUUAAACAAAAAAAACACUAAAGUAUCCUAAAUUAUAAUCAAAACUUUACCUUCUGAAUAGCAAAACCUUAAAUCAUUAGACUUUGAAUUGAACCCAACGUAAAACAAAUAUUUGAGUGAAUUAGUUAAAAAAUCCUAAAAACUUUUGAAAUUGGCUUAAAAAGAAAAAUGGAUCAAAAACCUGGAUGACUGCAGCAGCAAAGAUAGCAAAAAGACGCGCUUCGAUCCUAAUCCUGCAACUAUAAUGAGAAAAUAGAUGGGUUGUUGCCACCAUGACCAAGCAAGUCGGUUAAAUAACCAAUGAUCAAACUGCUUUGGUCUUAGUUACAUUCAGGAUUCGUAGGCACCAGAACUAGUAAUUUCCGAAUUCCUCGCAAGUAUCAAAACAUAUUAAUCUCACUUUUCAUGGUCUUGUAGACGUUUCCCAUUUACCUCUUGGCUCAACAUUCGCCAAGAUGUAAUAUUCUCUUCUUAAUACUUUUUUGCCUCUCUUAUGCUGAAUAAAGAUUUCUCCUUUUGUCCUAACAUCUGAAGCUUCGUUUAGCCUCUAGAAAACUUACACAACCUCUUUUUUUUUUCAAGUGUUAAAUUUGAUUCUUGUAUUACCAAGUAUAUGUAAAUGUCGGAGAUCUCAUGACAUCGUUACACACGCUUCUUCUUUCGUAAAUCAAUUUGUGGGUUUUACUGAGCAAUACAUAUGAUAAUAACUAAUGAAUAGAGGUAUAUAUAUAUAUUUUGAACACCUUACUGAAUGUUAAUUAUAUGUAUAUUUAAUAAUAUUUUCCUAAUGUUUUGGGAAGACCUUAAUGAAUUUUAUAUAUGAAAUUUAUAAAAAUAUUUUACAUAUUUCAAAGCAUUUUCAUAAAUUUUUGAGAGAUGUUAUAUAUCAUCCAUUAGAGAAUUUGAAUAUAUUAUAUUUUUUUUUAAAAAAAAAUGGAUACACCUUAUAAUAGAAUUGAGUUUAUCUACAAUCUUAGUAUAUUUUAUAGUAAAAUUAUAAUAAAAAUAAAUAAAAGUAUCUCUUACUUUACUGAAAAAUGGCCAUAGAUAUCCCUAAACCAAGUUUCUCUUCCAAAUAUAGACCCAAGGCCCAAUUAGACAUAAAUGUUUCAUUUAAUGAUAGCAAAUUACCUGGUUACCCUUAAUCUUAAUUUAACCUAAAUUAUUAAAUAAUAAAAGAAAAUUAUUUUAAAAUGUUUUCGUAAGUUUUGCUGUCUAAGCUGUGCCGUCGUCUCCGUAUCGCCGUCUGUCGUCUCCAUAUCGCCUCCGUAGGGCUGCAUUGUCCUCCAUCCGUCGUCGUCUGUGCCCUUGCCUCGUCUUCAAUUUGUCGCGUAUCCACCCUUGCAUCGUCCUCGAUCUGUCGUCGUCUUUGUGUCUCAUUAUCUCGUGUCUCCUAUCUUAUCUAGGUAUCAUCAUUUCAGAUUCAUUAUAAAUUGAUGAUAUGUUGUUGCUAUUGGAUUUUCUAGUUGUUUUGAGACUUAAGAUUGUAUUGACGUCAUCUUCACCUUAUAUACUCACAAAUUUACUUAAAUAUCUUUGCAAUUGGAUUUUUUAGUCAUUUUUUUUUGAAACUUAAGAUUGUAUUCUCGCCAUCUUCACCUUCUACACUCAAAAAUUUACUUUAAUGUCUUUGUGGUUGGUCUUUUUGAGAUUUUCUUGUGAUUUUUUUAACAGAUUUUCGAACUAUGACUGAAGUUUUUUUGUGUUUGUGGACAAUGGAGCUCAAAAGAAUCUUUCCAGUGAGAGUUUAAUGUUGAUAACAGAAACAUUGAUUCAAAUCUCUUUUUUUUUUUGUGUUUGUAUGAUUUUAUAUUCUUUCUUAUAAUAUUCAUGAUAGCCUUCUUAACCAUGUACUAAUCCUUCAUAAACAACUUAAAUUUUGCAGACAUUUCCUUUUCAAGGUGUCUCUGCAAUCCCUCUUAAUCUUAUUCCAGAUUUAAGUCCUGUCCAUAUUGGACUUCCACCAACCAUAAUAGCUAUUAAGGUGAAAAGCUAUUUUAAGAGCAACGAAGAAUUAAUGUCGAGGAUGAAGAAAUAGUCCUUAGAGGGGAAGUUGAGUACAAGGCUGUGUGUUCUAACAAGUCAAGAUUUGUAUUGCGGUGUGUUAGUGACAAUUGCUCGUGGGGGAUGCGUGCCACCAAAGUGUCUUGUUUAGAUUUUUCCUAUUGUUGUAGAUUUGUGCCUAUUUAAUUUUGUAUAUUUUUAAAAUAAAACAUCAUUAUUUAUACAUUUGACCACAUUUCAGUCAAUACAAAAAAAAAACUAGAGGAUAUGAAAAAAACAUAUAACAUAUAAAGUUAAUAAAUUUUGCAUUGAAAUUCUAAAACGACACAAGGAAACUUUUAUUCUACAACAACAAUUAAAAGGAAAGGAGGUAGUAUAAAACAUUGUAUUGUUGAAUGAACUAAAGAGAAAAUUACACAAAUUCAAGUAUUGUUAACGUAUUGUUUAAAAUAUAUAAAGUAAGUGAAAUCUCAGAAACAUUUGAGAUAUCUUUUCCUGCGAGUGUAAAUGUAAAGCGGCAAAUGAUGUCACAAGACAUUCAACAAUGAGUUUAUAUCUCAAAAACAAGACAAGAUAUGGGAGAGAGCUUUGAAUAUCUGCUGCAGCGUGUUCCAUUUUCCAAGAUUGCCACGGAGGAAGAGGAACAGACUCAUACUGACUUGGUAAACACGUUUUUGUAAGACGUUUCCAUACAAGUAAAGUUCUUACCUGGAGGUAGAGGAGGCACCCAUAAACCAAAACCUUUCUUCAUGAUCUGGUCAAGGUCUAGUCUUUUCAAAGUAAAUACAUCUUUAGUUCCAUGCCAAACGAACGCGAGAUGAUCACCAGAGAUCACGUAAAGUGAACCAGGUUUUGAACCAGGAUAAAGGAAACCAUAACCAUUUGAGAUACCCUUUCCUUUGUAACAAUGCUGAAAGUCUCUUCCAUCUGCCUCAAACGGAAAGGGCUCAAGGGAAGGUGUGUCAAUAUCCACAACAAACAUUGGUGUUCCAUUGGGAUGCUGCACAAAGUCAUUGCCUUCGAGUAUUUUCGUCCCAACAAGACGUUUCCCAUUGUUCUUUCUAGAUUCUUCGUAAGAG